RNAcentral lists this ribosomal RNA (787 nucleotides) under uncultured Bacillota bacterium. RNAcentral's name for it is "bacterial SSU rRNA". It matches the Rfam family "Bacterial small subunit ribosomal RNA", at positions 1 to 799 of the family's 1533-position model. The record is from RNAcentral. Lineage: Bacteria; Bacillati; Bacillota.
AGGAGAGUUUGAUCCUGGCUCAGGACGAACGCUGGCGGCGUGCUUAACACAUGCAAGUCGAACGAGGUUAUAGGAGAGCUUGCUCGAAUAUAACCGAGUGGCGGACGGGUGAGUAACGCGUGAACAAUCUGUCUCAUACAGGGGAAUAACGCAUCGAAAGAUGUGCUAAUACCGCAUAGGACCACGGUAUCGCAUGGUACUGAGGUGAAAGGAGCAAUCCGGUAUGAGGUGAGUUCGCGUCUGAUUAGAUAGUUGGUGAGGUAACGGCCCACCAAGUCAACGAUCAGUAGCCGACCUGAGAGGGUGAUCGGCCACAUUGGGACUGAGACACGGCCCAGACUCCUACGGGAGGCAGCAGUGGGGAAUAUUGGGCAAUGGGCGAAAGCCUGACCCAGCAACGCCGCGUGAAGGAAGAAGGUUUUCGGAUCGUAAACUUCUGUCCUUGGUGAAGAGAAGAAGACGGUAGCCAAGGAGGAAGCCCCGGCUAACUACGUGCCAGCAGCCGCGGUAAUACGUAGGGGGCGAGCGUUGUCCGGAAUGAUUGGGCGUAAAGGGCGCGUAGGCGGCUUGUUAAGUCUGGAGUGAAAGUCCUGUUUUCAAGAUGGGAAUUGCUUUGGAUACUGAUGAGCUUGAGUGCAGGAGAGGUUAUCGGAAUUCCCGGUGUAGCGGUGAAAUGCGUAGAGAUCGGGAGGAACACCAGUGGCGAAGGCGGGUAACUGGACUGCAACUGACGCUGAGGCGCGAAAGUGUGGGGAGCAAACAGGAUUAGAUACCCUGGUAGUCCCCU